GUGUUCGUUCUGGCAGCACAUAUGUUAAAACCGGAACGACAGAGAAAAGAUCAGCGUGGCCCAGCACACGAAGGGACGACAUGCAAGCCUGUACAGCGUCCCACAGUUUA
Capra hircus (goat) is the source of this 110-nucleotide small nuclear RNA. Lineage: Eukaryota; Metazoa; Chordata; Mammalia; Artiodactyla; Bovidae. The record is from Ensembl.